RNAcentral lists this ribosomal RNA (253 nucleotides) under uncultured bacterium. RNAcentral's name for it is "partial 16S ribosomal RNA". It matches the Rfam family "Bacterial small subunit ribosomal RNA", at positions 524 to 776 of the family's 1533-position model. The record is from RNAcentral.
UACGUAGGUGGCAAGCGUUGUCCGGAUUUACUGGGUGUAAAGGGUGCGCAGGCGGACCUUUAAGUAGAAAGUGAAAGGUUGGAGCUCAACUCCGACACUGCUUCCUAUACUGGGGGUCUUGAGUUUCGGAGAGGAAAGCGGAACGACACGUGUAGCGGUGAAAUGCGUUGAUAUGUGUCGGAACACCAAUGGCGAAAGCAGCUUUCUGGACGAAUACUGACGCUCAGGCACGAAAGCCAAGGUAGCAAACAGG